UGUGUGUGGGACAUGACUGUGCCCGUGAUCCAGUCAUAAUGUCCAUUAGAGCACACAUGGCAUCCUGCCCAUUUCAAGUACACUGCUUAAACUGUGCUUCACACACCUGGGUGCUGCCCACAACAACUAACUAAGGAGGAGGAAAGAAGACCCAGAGAAGGUGGAAAUCUGCUACGUUACACUUUCCCUGUCUCCCUAGCAUUACUGACGCAGGAUGUGUGAGUAUUGACACAUUUUUCCACAGCUCCGUUUUAGAAUUUGCUUGAUUGAUGGUUCACGCUGGAGGGAUGACAAAGCAGUGCAGAAACCAGGCCAUGCUUUAAUUAUGAUAGAGGGGAGCAUCGAUCCUAUCUGAACACAAAGCAGAGGCAAACAGUCACGCACUCUUACAGACGAGCCUGCUCACAAAUGUCUCAUGGGCAUUCACAGAAAAACAUUUGCACAGCAUCACACACAUGUUAGGUACACACUUGAUCACUGUCUCAUUUGCUUGUGUGUGUUAUGCAGUAUCGUAUGCUUUCCCCUUAGUUCACGUCCUCACUGUACACGCUUGAAUUACCUCGGGGGUGCACAUGUGUGUGUGCAUAUGGCAGCUGCACCAUAUUCAUAGCCUCCUGCUCCAUUUGAAGCCUCUAAAAUAAGCAGAAUAAUUGUCUAAUCUUCCACAAGCAGGUGGUGCAUACAGAAAUAAAGCAAGUGAAGCCACAGCCUUAAGUCUGACUGACUAUGAACAUUGCAUUGUUUCCAUGUGUUUUCUGUUAAUGCUGCUUUUUCUUGGGGCUUUGGCCCCAGUGUUCAGUCCCAAAAUUACCACUGUGUAUGUCAUCUUUAUUCUAGUGUAAUGCAAGUGAACAACGCGACUUGUUUGUUGUCAGUAAUUCUCUUUCUAUUCCUCCUUUCUUUUCCAUGUUGCUGCCUCUAUUGCUGUAGCAAAAGCUCUUUUAAUCAAACCAAAAUUGAAUCCUCUUUCUCCAACCCCGACAAACUUUUCUCCAUCUUCUCUAACCUCCUAGAUUCCCCCAGUCCACCGCCUCCCUCCUUCCAUCCUACCAACCCACUUUGUCAACUACUUU
Molecule: long non-coding RNA, 1073 nt
Organism: Etheostoma cragini (Arkansas darter)
Lineage: Eukaryota; Metazoa; Chordata; Actinopteri; Perciformes; Percidae
Exons: 3
Source: RefSeq, a predicted model, not a curated record